This 467-nucleotide ribosomal RNA is filed under the name uncultured bacterium. Its description in RNAcentral is "partial 16S ribosomal RNA". It matches the Rfam family "Bacterial small subunit ribosomal RNA", at positions 28 to 506 of the family's 1533-position model. The record is from RNAcentral.
GACGAACGCUGGCGGCGUGCUUAACACAUGCAAGUCGAACGGAAAGGCCCUGCUUUUGUGGGGUGCUCGAGUGGCGAACGGGUGAGUAACACGUGAGUAACCUGCCCUUGACUUUGGGAUAACUUCAGGAAACUGGGGCUAAUACCGGAUAGGAGCUCCUGCUGCAUGGUGGGGGUUGGAAAGUUUCGGCGGUUGGGGAUGGACUCGCGGCUUAUCAGCUUGUUGGUGGGGUAGUGGCUUACCAAGGCUUUGACGGGUAGCCGGCCUGAGAGGGUGACCGGCCACAGGGGGACGGGGAUACGGCCCAGACCCCUACGGGGGGGAGGAGGGGGGAAUAUUGCAAAAGGGGCGGAAGCCUGAUGCAGCAACGCCGGGGGGGGGAUGACGGCCUUGGGGUUGUAAACCGCUUUCGCCGGGGACGAAGCGUGGGUGACGGUAAUGGGAAAAGAAGCACCGGCUAACUACGU